UACGUAGGGAGCAAGCGUUGUCCGGAAUCAUUGGGCGUAAAGCGCGCGUAGGUGGCUUCGUAAGUCCGCUGUGAAAGUCAAAGGCUCAACCUUUGAAAGCCGGUGGAUACUGCGGGGCUAGAGUACGGAAGAGGCGAGUGGAAUUCCUGGUGUAGCGGUGGAAUGCGCAGAUAUCAGGAGGAACACCAAUAGCGAAGGCAGCUCGCUGGGACGUUACUGACACUGAGGCGCGAAAGCGUGGGGAGCGAACAGG
RNAcentral lists this ribosomal RNA (253 nucleotides) under uncultured bacterium. Its description in RNAcentral is "partial 16S ribosomal RNA". It matches the Rfam family "Bacterial small subunit ribosomal RNA", at positions 524 to 776 of the family's 1533-position model. The record is from RNAcentral.